CUAUUGGUAGCCAUGAUGUUAUUUGCAAUAAAAUAUCAGUAAAAUGACAUUACUAAGAAUUUUAUUUUUACUGAAUGUCUUUUUGCAAAUUGACAAUGCUACUUGGCCCAUUA
Molecule: microRNA precursor, 113 nt
Filed under: Schmidtea mediterranea
Lineage: Eukaryota; Metazoa; Platyhelminthes; Tricladida; Dugesiidae
Description: microRNA sme-mir-2175 precursor
Source: miRBase by way of RNAcentral